AAACUUGAAGUGUUUACGGUCUAGGGUAGAUGUCCAACAGGGAGCAGGGACUAUCAAUCUGGAACUCAGAGACGAAACCAUGGAGUGACAGGUGCAGGUUAAGAGCCUGUUAGGUCCAAAAUGGUGCCCCAGAAAUUCAAGUUAAGUCAAGCCCAUGUUGGAAGACCACCAGCUCCUGCUCGGUGAUUAACUUUGAGGAACCUCGGACAAUAUCCUUCUCAGAGUUAAAGUCCAUGAUUGAAAAGUGGCGUAAAAUUUUAUCUGGCUCUGUGCCGGGCCCUGCCAAGCUCUUCUCAAACUCGAUCAGCUGUUGUGUCAGCUUCGAGUCCAGGUGUUCUCCAAACAAUCCAAAGAAGUUUCCGGGAUCCUGGCAAGGCUGCCUUCCUGGGGCAGAGCCAUGGUUUCCUCCACCCGUGUGUCAGGACAUAAUUUCACAAACCGGGGUAUCUACUUCACCAUUAACAAUGCAGUCAUCUUGAUUUCCAGAACUUACUGACUCAUCCACAGUCCUCAGGGGCCCCAACAGCUCUACAAAACCUUCUGGAAAAAUGCCUCUUCGGCCCUCUAACUCCCCUUCAAACCAGCCUGGUUCAGGAACUCCAAUAAUGGUGAUCACAUCCCCUUCCCUGAAGUCCAGCUCUUCAUCCAGCUGAGCAGAAAGCCCCAUUAGGGCCCGGGCUUGUCCCAUGGAAUAUUCCGGAAUCUGAAACAGGGCGCUCUGGGAGUGCCACUGCCGGCUCUGUGAGGAGAGGCAGAGCUCGCGGACACAUGAAGAUGGGAAGAAGCCCCGUGCGCCCCAGCAGCUUCGGCCCUGCAGCCAGCCUGCAGUGGGAAUGCCAUCGAGAAUCACCAGGUCACCUAAAGAAAAGAGGAGCAGAGAUGGUGACCUCAGUCAUCACCCAGCAGAACAUUAUCACGACUAAUAGUGCAACCUCUCAUUUUAAACAGCUACCAAAUUCAAGGAAAUACACCUAGAGCUUUAGGAGCAUGAACAAUUUUGACAAUUUAUUGAAUUGGAGCAGUUCUAUAAACCUGUAGUUUUCAGAGUGUUCCAUGGAACCCUACAGGUGGGUCUCCAAGAUCCUAGCAGAGAAUCUGUGAGGUCAAAACCAUUCUCAUAAUAACACUAAGACUUUAUCUACAUAUUUUACUCUGCUGACUUUUGUAAUCUCUGUGAAAAAGCAAUGGUGAUUAAAACUGCUGGCCAGCUAGGUGCUGUGGCUUACACCAGAAAUCCGAGCACUUUGGGAGGCCAAGGCAGGAGGAUCGCUUGAGACCAGGAGUUCAAAACCAGCCUGGGCAACAUGUCAAGACCUUGUCUCUACAAUAAAUUUAAAAAUUAGCUGUGCACUGUGGCUCAUGCCUGUAGUCCCAGCUAUUCAGGAGGCUGAGGUGGGAGGAUAGCUUGAACCCAGGAGGUCAAGGCUGCAGUAAGCUGUGAUUUCACCACUACGCUCCAGUCUGGGUGACAGAGCAACACUUGUCUCAAAAAUAAAAAUAAAAUGGCUGGGCGCGAUGGCUCAUGCCUGUGAUCCCAGCACUUUGGGAGGCCAAGGCAGGCGGAUCACUUGAGGUCAGGAGUUCGAGAGCAGCCUGGUCAACAUGGUGAAACACCAUCUCUACUAAAAAUACAAAAAUUAGCUGAGCAUGGUGGCACGUGCCUGUAGUCCCAGCUAUUCAGGAGGCUGAGGCAGAAAUUAAACUCAGGAGGCAGAGGUCGCAGUGAGCCGAGAUCGCACCACUGCACUCCAGCUUGGGCAACAGAGCAAGACUCCAUCUCAAAAAAAUAAUAAAUUAAUUAAAAACUGCUGGCAAUUCAUAAGCAAAGGCAGUAGCCACAAAUUACAUGAAUAGUCACUGUAUGGUCAUCGUAUUCUUCACAACCAUGUACUCACAGUUUUUAAAAAAGCCAUUUUCAGUUAAGAAGCAAUACAAAUUAUGCACUGUGCUAAAUCUCAACCCUUAAGAACAAUUCUUUUGUAAUAUUCUGUGUGACAAUAUAGGAAUUACACAUAAAGCACUUUUACUGCUGAGGAGAAGCACGAGUAACUGAGUUAUAUGCCUGAACCGUCUGUUUAUUUUCACAUAACACCAUUUUAUGUGCAAGAAUGAAUAACAGACAACUAUGUUUAUUCAGACUUAGAUAUCUGGCAGAUGUUUCCUCCAAAAUGAAAGUGAGUCUGAAACAUCAAGGAGAACAAAUGACAGUAUUUGUUGCCAAUGAUAAAAUUCCAACUUCCAAGAGAAAAUGAGAAUUUUGGAAAACUUGUAUCUACUACCAUGGGCUUGGCAGCUUUCCCAU
RNAcentral lists this long non-coding RNA (2302 nucleotides) under Homo sapiens (human). RNAcentral's name for it is "DNMBP antisense RNA 1". The record is from RNAcentral. Lineage: Eukaryota; Metazoa; Chordata; Mammalia; Primates; Hominidae.